GUUCUGUUUUUUAUGGUAGGGGUUCCUUUUUGGCUGAGUAGUAAAUGCAAUAGUGGCAUACUGCUGUUCAUAUCAAUUAUAAGAGAAAAACAACGGAACAACAGACACACUGAACUGCUACAAAAGCAAACGGCAAUAUCCAUAGAAACAAACUACUUCAGGAGCCUAUAAUUCAGUGGUUGUCGUUUGUUUAUGUGUUACAUAUUUGUUUUUCGUUCAUUUUUUU
RNAcentral lists this long non-coding RNA (226 nucleotides) under Mytilus galloprovincialis (Mediterranean mussel). The record is from RNAcentral. Lineage: Eukaryota; Metazoa; Mollusca; Bivalvia; Mytilida; Mytilidae.